ACAAAAUCCACAGAUACAUCCAAAGGAAACAUCUGAAACGAACUGCCAACGAGUGAAAGACAGACAACCACUAAAAUACACAGCUUCUCUGCCUCGGCCAGGACGCGUUCUUCAGAUGAUCAUGACCAACCUGAGGAACCGUCCUCUGAGCAGCACAAGUGUCGCCUCCAUGAGGGAGUCCAGAAAUUAAAAGUUAUAUCUUGGAAUGAUUACCUCAUCGCAAAACAAUAAAGCUAUUAAAACUGUGAAA
This is a long non-coding RNA of Micropterus salmoides (largemouth bass), 250 nucleotides long. RefSeq lists it as uncharacterized. The record is from RefSeq and is a predicted model, not a curated record. Lineage: Eukaryota; Metazoa; Chordata; Actinopteri; Centrarchiformes; Centrarchidae. The transcript is spliced from 2 exons.